GCGCCAGUAGCUCAAAUGGAUAGAGCAACAGCCUACGGAGCUGUGGGUUAGGGGUUCGAGUCCCUUCUGGCGCG
Molecule: transfer RNA, 74 nt
Filed under: Caldithrix sp. RBG_13_44_9
Lineage: Bacteria; Pseudomonadati; Calditrichota; Calditrichia; Calditrichales; Calditrichaceae
Description: tRNA-Arg
Rfam family: tRNA
About the family: Transfer RNA (tRNA) molecules are approximately 80 nucleotides in length. Their secondary structure includes four short double-helical elements and three loops (D, anti-codon, and T loops). Further hydrogen bonds mediate the characteristic L-shaped molecular structure. tRNAs have two regions of fundamental functional importance: the anti-codon, which is responsible for specific mRNA codon recognition, and the 3' end, to which the tRNAs corresponding amino acid is attached (by aminoacyl-tRNA synthetases). tRNAs cope with the degeneracy of the genetic code in two manners: having more than one tRNA (with a specific anti-codon) for a particular amino acid; and 'wobble' base-pairing, i.e. permitting non-standard base-pairing at the 3rd anti-codon position.
Source: RNAcentral